UCUGUCUUGCGCUGCUUCCCUCUGGCACUCCUGCAGUCUUUGUGAAACCUUCAGUCAUGAAAUUUCUUUUUCUUAUCUUUUCUUUGGGGAUCUUCCCACUCGCUGCAGAGACAUCUUCAUACUGCGAGGACCUGGGUGGCUUCUGUCAAACUCCAAAAGAUAAGGAAUGUUCCUUUGGUCAACCUCUUCCAGCCAACUGUGGAAUCAAUGGAAAGUGCUGUCCAAGACCUAGGACCUGCGCACAGUUUGGGGGCCAAUGUGUGACUCCAUUAUUUGGACCCUGCCCAUCCGGUGUAGGGUAUCCAGCCAACUGUGGAAUUAAUGGGAAAUGUUGCAAACGAAAAUGAUGCCAACAAGCAGCUUUUAGAGUCCUUAGUUCUGAGUUCCUGAUGCAAGAGGUGAAUCUUCAUUGGAUCAAACAAAGUAGGGCUGAACUUGCGUGAAAAUGAAUAGUAAUAAAUUACUGGAAUCAAUCCAUCAACUCACUCAGUGCAGAUUAAAAUUCCAGAUUUUAAAUCCUA
Molecule: long non-coding RNA, 521 nt
Organism: Eublepharis macularius
Lineage: Eukaryota; Metazoa; Chordata; Lepidosauria; Squamata; Eublepharidae
Exons: 3
Source: RefSeq, a predicted model, not a curated record